AGCAGCCGCGGUAAUUCCAGCUCCAAUAGCGUAUAUUAAAGUUGUUGCAGUUAAAAAGCUCGUAGUUGAAUUUCGGGAUCAAUUUAUUGGUCGUGCUAUUGUACGUACUGGUAUUAUUGAUUCCUACCUUCUGACGAACCAUGAUGUCAUUAAUUUGGUGUCAUGGGGAAUCAGGACUGUUACUUUGAAAAAAUUAGAGUGUUUAAAGCAGGCUCACGCUUGAAUACAUUAGCAUGGAAUAACGAGAUAGGACGUUUGAUUCUAUUUGUUGGUUUCUAGGAUCGACGUAAUGAUUAAUAGGGAUAGUUGGGGCAUUAGUAUUCAAUUGUCAGAGGUGAAAUUCUUGGAUUUAUUGAAGACUAACUACUGACGAAAGCAUUUGCCAAGGAUGUUUCAUUAAUCAAGAACGAAAGUUAGGGAUACGAAGACGAUCAG
RNAcentral lists this ribosomal RNA (435 nucleotides) under uncultured Glomus. RNAcentral's name for it is "SSU rRNA". It matches the Rfam family "Eukaryotic small subunit ribosomal RNA", at positions 569 to 1011 of the family's 1831-position model. Lineage: Eukaryota; Fungi; Glomeromycota; Glomeromycetes; Glomerales; Glomeraceae. The record is from RNAcentral.